AUAAGAUUUCGGCUUUGAAAAUUCACAUUGAUGGGGAGGUUCGGCACCUCAACGUUGGCUUUUUGCCACCUGGGGCUAUAGUAUGUUCCAAAGGUUGGGCUGUUCGCCAUUAAAGCAGUACACAAGCUGGGUUCAGAUCUAUUAAUC
Molecule: non-coding RNA, 147 nt
Filed under: Eucalyptus grandis
Lineage: Eukaryota; Viridiplantae; Streptophyta; Magnoliopsida; Myrtales; Myrtaceae
Description: Bacterial large subunit ribosomal RNA
Rfam family: Bacterial large subunit ribosomal RNA
Source: Rfam by way of RNAcentral